This 397-nucleotide RNase P RNA is filed under the name Sphingomonas hankyongi. RNAcentral describes it as "RNase P RNA component class A". It matches the Rfam family "Bacterial RNase P class A". From Rfam's summary of the family: Ribonuclease P (RNase P) is a ubiquitous endoribonuclease, found in archaea, bacteria and eukarya as well as chloroplasts and mitochondria. Its best characterised activity is the generation of mature 5'-ends of tRNAs by cleaving the 5'-leader elements of precursor-tRNAs. The record is from RNAcentral. Lineage: Bacteria; Pseudomonadati; Pseudomonadota; Alphaproteobacteria; Sphingomonadales; Sphingomonadaceae.
CCAGAGGGCCGGGCGGCCGCGGGAGAGCUUGCUCUCACGAGGAAAGUCCGGGCUCCACGGAACUGCGGUGCCGGGUAACGCCCGGCGGUGCGCCACUAGCUCAGGCGACGGCGUAUCAGGGACAGUGCCACAGAAAGGACACCGCCCGCCUUCGGACGGGUAAGGUCGAAAGGGUGCGGCAAGAGCGCACCGCGGACCUGGCAACAGGUUCGGCACGGUAAACCCCACCGGGUGCAAGACCGAAUAGGGGCGCCGCAUGAGCCUAGGUUCCGGCUCGGCGCCCGGGUUGGUUGCUUGAGGGGCGGGGCAACCCGUCUCCUAGAGGAAUGGCCGCACAUUCGCCGACGGCUGCAGCCAAGGCGGAGGACAGAACCCGGCUUACAGGCCCUCUGGCAAU